RNAcentral lists this long non-coding RNA (204 nucleotides) under Phoenix dactylifera (date palm). RNAcentral describes it as "long non-coding RNA (PDAC_LNC007306)". The record is from RNAcentral. Lineage: Eukaryota; Viridiplantae; Streptophyta; Magnoliopsida; Arecales; Arecaceae.
GGAAAUCCCAGUGCAUGAGGGAGAGAAUAUUUUGGGAAUAACUUCCCAUGUAUAUAAAAAAAUAAGAAUGAAGUGUUGAGGGAGGAAGAAAGGAAGCUGAUCAUGAAGGAAGAGAUGGGAGCCUGCUGCUGUGCUGCUGCUGCCGUCUCCAACUCCAUGCAGGGCUGAUCUCUUCUCUAGGGCUGGUUGCAGCCCUAACAAAAG